UUGGACCUGUCACGAAUGCUUAAUAUAGAGCUUUCUCCAAGUCAAGGCUACCUCCAAGUCAACUGAGCAUCUCCUGAUUAAACGCCGGGGCCUUCAUCGAUGGAACCAAUAGAUGUGCUUGGCUGUCUCGAUGGAGGCCUUGUUUUCUAUAGGAUCAUUGGAAAACAAGGCAUCGACUAUGAUCUGUGCGUUCCCAAUGAGAAAAAUGUAUGCAAGACGUCAAUUUUUUGGCUUUCCGAGACAACAAUUAGCUGAGCCUUUGAAUGCAUCGAACCACCCUGUGUGCAGGCGAGUUCUCGUCACGGACUUCCAAGGAAGGUCCUGGAGGGCGUCAU
Molecule: long non-coding RNA, 335 nt
Filed under: Coccomyxa subellipsoidea
Lineage: Eukaryota; Viridiplantae; Chlorophyta; Trebouxiophyceae; Coccomyxaceae
Description: long non-coding RNA (CSUB_LNC000190)
Source: RNAcentral